This 497-nucleotide ribosomal RNA is filed under the name uncultured bacterium. RNAcentral describes it as "partial 16S ribosomal RNA". It matches the Rfam family "Bacterial small subunit ribosomal RNA", at positions 28 to 507 of the family's 1533-position model. The record is from RNAcentral.
GAUGAACGCUGGCGGCGUGCCUAAUACAUGCAAGUCGAGCGAACGGACGAGAAGCUUGCUUCUCUGAUGUUAGCGGCGGACGGGUGAGUAACACGUGGAUAACCUACCUAUAAGACUGGGAUAACUUCGGGAAACCGGAGCUAAUACCGGAUAAUAUUUUGAACCGCAUGGUUCAAAAGUGAAAGACGGUCCUGCUGUCACUUAUAGAUGGAUCCGCGCUGCAUUAGCUAGUUGGUAAGGUAACGGCUUACCAAGGCAACGAUGCAUAGCCGACCUGAGAGGGUGAUCGGCCACACUGGAACUGAGACACGGUCCAGACUCCUACGGGAGGCAGCAGUAGGGAAUCUUCCGCAAUGGGCGAAAGCCUGACGGAGCAACGCCGCGUGAGUGAUGAAGGUCUUCGGAUCGUAAAACUCUGUUAUUAGGGAAGAAUAUAUGUGUAAGUAACUGUGCACAUCUUGACGGUACCUAAUCAGAAAGCCACGGCUAACUACGUG